Molecule: long non-coding RNA, 6891 nt
Filed under: Cricetulus griseus (Chinese hamster)
Lineage: Eukaryota; Metazoa; Chordata; Mammalia; Rodentia; Cricetidae
Description: lncRNA (ENSCGRG00015039822.1)
Source: RNAcentral
GCAAACUUGGGGGCGGAGACGCACCCCAGGCUUGACGGCUGAGGCUGGGCCGGGACGGAAGAGGGGGCGUCCCUGGGGGCGUCGCACGUGGACCCCCAGCACAGGCACGCCACGUGCACCCCGCUGUGCACGCCAGCAUUUCCUGCGGCAUCCUUUUCGGGUUCACUGGCCUUCGGCUGGUGUUCUUGCGGUUCCCAGCCUCUGGGAGGACUUGAAGAAGGGAGGAGACCUGUAGGAGGGGGCUUUGCGGGACGAAUAGGAGUUUACCGAGUGUUGUUGGAAGAGAAGAAGGUUGUGUUGCGGGGCAGCAGUCAGGUCACGUUGUGGAGUCGGGGGAAUAGGAAAAGGCAAAGCUGCCUAGAGCCCUGAAGGAGAUCCCCCCCAAGUCUAGGCUUCAGCUGACGGGGACGGGACGCCUAACCGUGACCCUGGUUAGCAUCACCCUUUGGGAGGUGGAGGCAGAAAAAGUAGAACAGGUUUGACCGAAAUCCCAAUCAUCCGGAAGAAGCUGCGAGGGCCGAUGGCAGGGAUGGAGGAUGGGGAGGUUGAAGGUUUUAAAAUGCACGCGGGCACUUUGGAUGAGGCGAGAAGGAUCCCCGGGGCAGGUAUUCCAGGUCAUCAUUAAGUGGCCUCGGUAAAGAAGUGGGGGAGAGGUGGGUGCCUGCACACCUGACAUCACAUCGCUCAAGAGGCUGAGACAGAAGGAUGACCUCCUGCCCAGGCUGGCCUGCGGUGGCAAGACUAGGGUAGAGGCUGACGACGAAAAGGAACGGUGUGGUUUCCCAAACGAGCUAAGGGGGGGGGGGACAUUGCAAAUGGGCCGAGUUCUGUGACCAAGCAGCCGGGGGCGGGUAGAAAGAGGUCACUAGAGGUCAUGGCUUCCUGCCAAAGGCUGGAGUCCCCUGGGGGGAGGAGUGGCCACUCUCCAGUCGGGAAUCUGGGGACUUGGCAGCAAGCUCCGAGAUGUCAGAGGCCUUGGGAAGGAGACUACGCUGGCGGCAGCUGGGCGUGGAGAUCUUUCCUGGAGUCUGAUUCCAGCCCCACCCACGGCCACCUAGUCCUCCGCGGUGUCACGCGGGGCAGCUUUUCUCUAUUUCUGUCUCUCUCCAGGCCCCUCUAUUUUCGUCCUUUCACUGGCUGUCCCACCCCCUCCCCUCCCCCACUUCCGCCCCCUCCUUUACCCUUCCCCCUCCUCACAUUCCAACCUCCGCCCCCGCCCACAGCCGUGGGGCCAGCUGCUGUUUUGGGUGUCCAGGGGACAGAAAAGGAGAUGGGUUCUGCCCUGGGUCAGAGGUCCUCCCUCCUCGGAAUGUUUGAAGACCCAACCGGAGAGGGUGCCCCUAACCCUGCUGGAAUGUGGGCGGGACCGGACCCCAUCGAAGAAGGAGGUCACCCCUCACCCCUGCAGGCAGCCGCAGACAGCUGUCAUGCCCCACAAGACAUAAGCGGAACACCACCAACCCGGAGGCCUCCACGAAGCUGCAGCAGCCAGGAGCAUUUACUGAGGACUUCGCGCCAGCCUCCCAGUGCAUAACACCCAUCUCAUGAACCUGACCCUGACCCCACACUUUGGUUCUUGAACAUACCGAACCCUGCUAGUCCCAGGGAUAUAAGACUGUCUUAGCGGCUUCCCAAGGGAGCGUGAGGUCGGAGAUUUUGAGUUCAAGGCCAGCCUGGGCAACUUAGUGAGAACCACCCACACACACACUUGAAAAGUAAGAAACAUGCUGGGUUCGUGGCUCUGUGGUGCUAGCAUAGCUUGCCUGAAGUUCUGUGCUCCCCAAAGGAAAAAAGAAAAAGAGUUGUUGUUUGUUUUUAUUGUUUUAAAUUGGCUUUAAUCGUGUGUGUGUUUUUCGUGAGUGUUUUGUCUGAGUGUACGUGUGUGUGCCAUGUUCAUGCCUUCUGGCUGUAACCGGGCUAAGAAUUCUGUCGGAUCCCCUGGGACUGCGUGGUGAUUGAGAGUCACCAUGUAGGUGUCCAGAUUCAAACCCAGGUCAUUUGGAAGAGCAGCAGCAGCAGGAGUGCUAACCUCUGAGAUGUCUCUGCAGCCUCUAGUUGGGAUAUUUGCUCAGCAACUAGUACUUGAGGUACCCAGAAAGAAAAGCAACAUCCUCAAAUUCACCACAGCCACCAAGGGGACCCCCGUUACUGCCUUGUGACCUGCCAGUCACUGUCAUUUCCUGGUAGGAAACAGGAAUGUUAGUUGGGGGAUUAUUCACAGAUAACGCCCCAAGAAAGUGACUAUCUUUUGUUAGGCUGUCAUCCCAGCACUUGGCACUUGAGAGGUACAAGCAGAGGACCAGGAUUUCUAGGUCACCCUCCACCACACAGAGACUUCAGGGACAAUCUAGGCUUCUUGAGACCCUGUCUCACGGCAAUAAGAAAGUCUUUCAGAAUGUUAGAAAUACACACAAACUGGGGCAGACAAGUGACAGCCAGAGAAGACAGCAUGGAGGAGACUCAACAGUGCCCUUGACCCAGUCCCUUUCAGACCCUGGAGGCUCCCCAGAUGACACUCACUUCUCAGAUGAAGCAAUGGGGCCAGAGAGGUGCCUGGGUGCUGCCUACCCAGACAGCUGGGCCCGUGGACUACAGCUGACCCUCUGCACCUCCAAGGGUUCAAGGACCAGCUGCUUGCACUGGGACCUUUCGGCACCCUCAGGUUGACAGAUGCUUCAUGACCUGUGACUGUCCCUGUGCAGCUAAGUUCGGAGGAAGCACUGCAGGCCACCAGCUCCAGGCAGAAGUUGCUCUGCCCGUCUCUGUUUGUUUCCGGGGAGGCUGUUUGUGUGUUAACCUGCAUGGGAGGCUGUGCCACAGUCAGGUGAGUGGACUGGGCAGAAGUCCCUGGAGUGAUAGGGGCGGAAGAGGCCCUUGCUAAACAGCAUCUGAGCAUCCCUGGGGGUUGAUGCCCUACAACUCCUCCCAUCCCUCCUGCAGUUUUAGAAACCCAAAUAGAUCAUUUCCCAGACAGAUGAGCCACCCAGCUUCUGGGGUUUCCUGGGCGUCACUGCAGGGCCACUGGUGUUUUUUGGGCAUCUGAUAGAGACCUUGUGGAUGAUUGCGUGUCACUGCAUGUUCCUGCUGCAAAUACCCCUUUAGUGCAAGGGCACUGCUUCCCAGUCCCAGUAGUUUAUUGAAGACAGGCAGGAAGCUAUGGGAAGCCCACAGGGUCUCUCCAGGGUGCAGGCAAUUUGCCAGAUGACAAAGGCAUGUCGAGUUUGUGACUGAGCCUGACAGGUCUGCAAUAGAGGAUGUGGGUGUGCACGUGUAUAGCAUGGCUUGUCAUAGGAUGUGUGUGCUGGCUGGGGCGUCCCUUUGCUGUUCAAGGCCCAGGUCUGGGCAAGAGCCUCAGGGGCCCGGCCUCCCAAGCUUUCGUAUUCCCAUUCCUGGAGUAUGACUCAGGGUUGCGGGGAGGGAUGAGUCACAGGAACUUGGGCCUAGCCAGCCCUGGCCGCAGACCCUUUCCAGACACAGAGUCCAGUUCCUCUGGGUGGCAGGAGGCCAGACCUCAGACACCUGAGGGAUCAGAGCCCACCCAAGAAAAAAAAAAAAAAAGAAAGAAAGAAAAAAAAAAGGCAAGCUUAACUCUUACAGCUGGCUCUGGGUUUUAGCUUCUCUAAUUGGGAGGCCCGGGUGUCUCUGACACAGCUCUCAUGCCCACCCCUGGAGCAUGAGUCAUGCUACCAGGCAUAGAUGGCUGCAUUAGCACCCACCCCAGUCACGCACACCUCGCCCUGCCCUGAGCAUCUACAUCCCUGUUGUGCUCACUUUUGUCGGCAUUUCGGCACCCUGUCCACCCACCUUGUCCUUAGGGGAAGGAAAGUCAGCCGUGCAAAUAUGGCCACGUCCUCUUCACACACAUGGGACAAACCCACUUCCCCUGUCCAUGGGAGUCAGAUGUCUCUCCAAAUCCUCACGGGUCUCCUGCCCACAUGCACACAUGUGUGCCACACCUGGCAACACACACACACACAGACAGGGUGCAUCCUCCACCCUGCCUCUGGUCCCUGAGGGCGGCACCAGGCUUUGCCAUCACAGUCACACUUGUGCACCCCCGCCGGGCAGAGGCCAGGUGCAGUGGCCCUGGCCCCCGCCCGGCUAAGAAGGGGGCGGUAAUUACGUGGCCCCGGGGUGCCCCCCACACACGCGCCUUUCAUCCCGGGCCACGCCCCGCCCGUCCCCAACCCAGACGCUCAUUACAGCCUCCCGCCCGGUCAUUAGCCCGGGUCGGGGGAGGACUUGGCGAAGGGGGGCGCGGUGCUCCUCCUCAUCUCCAAAGCGACGCCCAGUGGUGGUGUUGGGUGCCAGGGACCACGGAUAGAGUGGGCUCGACUUCAAGGGAUGCAGGUGGCACCCUGCAUCCCUUCGGAUUUAUAAAAGACGGCUGGGAUUCAAGAUGGCCCCCAGUGGGUGCAUACACGAAGGACGCGACGGGUGACUUCUUGGACAAGUGCGCUGCCCUGACUCAAAGGAGUGAACCUCGAGCGUGGAGCCCAACUAUUCUGAUCCCUUGUGCAGGCAAGUCACCUGCGAGCUGAGCACUGCGAUGCUAGGCCGGCACUGCCCCGGUCUCCGUCCACGAUGGCUGUCCAGAAUGGCGACGUCUAGUGGCCUUAGAGUGGCCAAGAGGCUGGCGGCCGCACAGAAAGAGGCGGGACAUGGGUCUUGAACGCUCCAGCCGAGUCUGCAGCGCCCUCUCGUGUCCAUACCACGCAGAGCACCAUUUUGAAGCAGGGGUUCACAGCCUGGGUGGAGAGACAGAGACAAAGUGCACCAGGACAUACAUACAUACCUUAGACACAAGUACACCAAAGACGCAAGAGCUGCUCAUUGGAGCUAUAUUCAUGGGUCACAUAUUUGCACGCUCUUCCGGGGAUCUGAAAAGUCUAUGCGUACUGGUGGGGUCUGGCCCAAAGGAUCUGGUUGGUAGUAAGCUUAUUAAGUGGGUGCUGGUUGAAUCAACGAAUCAAUGAAUGAAUACAGCAAUUCCCAAAGACAGGGACUAGAAGUUCUCAGAAUGGGAAUGAGUCCAGGGGCUCAGCAUGACCCUGGCAGCUGGGAUUACAGGGAUCCAGUUUCCCCUGGGAGGCACACAUGGGGACUGCCUUGUUUCUGGUUCGCCUAGCCUGUGGUCCAGCAUUCCCCGCUAUGCAUGGUCCCCUCCCCACCUGGCUGACGCAGUGAGGGAGGGAAAGCAUGUUUCUCUGCUCUUUUUAAUAACCUCCCUUCGUGAGUGGCUGACGCUCUGACGGGGAUAGGAGGUUGAGUGCGGGGGGGGGGGGGGUUACAGAGGGAGUGGCCAUGAGUCACCAGCUGCCAUCUAGGAGGAAGGCAGCAUUGAGUCCCUGAGGGUUCUGGCAUUCUCCUUCUGGAGACAGAUGGGUCACCUCGACCAACCUCAUUCGAGGGUCAGUGAGCUUGGAGCUUAGAGCAGGGUUGGGUUGACUUAGUCCUCUAUGUCAGCAGAUUGCAUUCUCUCCAGGGGGCACUGCACUGGCCCCUGUCCCAGUCAGUGCCUUGGGCAGAAGGUGCUGAAGUGUUAAUGGGUGAACUGCCUUAGUUAGGGGUAAGGGUCCUUGAAAAGACCAGUCAGGUCGCUCAGGUCUCAGAACUAGAGUGAAAAGAGAUGGCGUACCGUGGCCUGCUGUUAAGGGUGUUAUCCCGGGUACUUAGCAGGCUGGGGCUACAUAGGUAAGAGCAGGCAGGAAAAGAAGGAUGGCUUAGUGGUAAAGAGCCCCGGCUGCUCUUGCAGAGGACCUGGAUUCAGUUCACAGCACCCACAUGGAGGUUCACAGCUGUCUGUACCUCUGGUUCCAGAGAACCCAACACAGCCUCUAUGUGUACAACGCAGGCACAUGGUGCACAGACAUUCAAGAAAAACACCCAUACAUAUAAAAUGUGGCUUUGUUUCUCACAUGUUUUUUUUUUGUUGUUGUUAUGCUUUGUUUUUUUUUUUUUUUUUUUUGAGACAGGUAUUUUCUGUGUGGUCUUGGCUAUCCUGGAACUCACUCUGUAGACCAGGCUGGCCUUGAACUCGCAGAGAUACACCUGCCUCUGCCUCCCAAGUGCUGGGAUUAAAAGUAUGCACCACCACUCCCUGGCUCAUAAGAAGGUAUAUAACCUUAAGGUUAUCCUUAACCUAUAACCUAUAGGUUAAGUUCCUGCCUAGAAUCCUCCAUUAAGGGACUGGAUGUGGUCAGGGGUGAAGCCCCGCCAGAACCCUCCAGUGAGGGGCUGAGGGCAUGGUCAGGAGUCCCUUCAGAUGGCAUGCUUGAAGCCCUGGGUGUAUGCAGAAGAGCAGUGCUCUGCCAGCUGUAAUGUGCACCUGGUUGGGGGUGAGCAGAAAGCAGGAUUCAAAUGGCAGUUAAGUUAUGGAGCAGGUUGAGAUUUGCAGGCAAACUGAGUUGGGUUCAGGAGAGACGCUGCAGCAAGUCUGAAGGAGGAGUACUGACUUUGUGGUUAAUAUUGUGAUGAAAGUGUUAGGACUGAUCUUAUGGAAUGUCUGAGAGCCUUGGGUCCAGAGAAUCAUUAGGAGUCAGUUGUUUUGGGAGUCAGCUCAGUGGAUAACGGGGCUUGCUGCUAAUCCUGAAUUUGAUCCUAAGGAUGGAAGGAGAGACACCAGAAAAUUGCCUUCUGGCUUUCACACACGCACUUCAGCUAAUAAAUGUAAUAUUAAAAAGAAAAGAAAAAAAAAAGCAGUGCGUUGAAGCUCUUUGUUCGCCGCCGCAGACCAACCGCGCGGAGAGCAACGAAGUGGGUCAGCUCCGCCCCUGAACCGCGCUGUCACCGCCCUCCGGCCGCUAGGGGGCGGGAGAAUGCGGCCGGGGCACAUCCCAGCCAAUCAAAACGCUCAGCGCCUCCGCGCGGGCAGGGACGAAGCCGGGGAUA